Non-coding RNA from Gossypium raimondii (Peruvian cotton), 141 nucleotides. NCBI's taxonomy places the organism in Eukaryota, Viridiplantae, Streptophyta, Magnoliopsida, Malvales, Malvaceae. The record is from Rfam.
UAUUAAAAACUUCAUCAAUUUGUUCUGUUAAAAACUAGCGUAACUAACGAAAUAACCAAGCAGUGAUACAUGACAUGCCACGUAUACCUCAUGUUGUAUAAAGACAGUUUUUAACCAUACAAAUUGAUAGAAUUUUUAACA